Molecule: long non-coding RNA, 1418 nt
Organism: Eriocheir sinensis (Chinese mitten crab)
Lineage: Eukaryota; Metazoa; Arthropoda; Malacostraca; Decapoda; Varunidae
Exons: 3
Source: RefSeq, a predicted model, not a curated record
UGUCAGAGAUUAUUCCAGUACCCAAAAACAACCACCCAAGGGAGUUUAAUGAUCUUCGACCCGUAGCCUUAACAUCAAUUAUAAUGAAAUGUUUGGAGCACAUUGUGAAGAGGUACAUUUGUUCAAGCGUAGAUCCCUUGAAAGAUAUUUUGCAAUUUGCUUAUUGUCAAGGUAUGAGUGUUCAGGAUGCUGGGUUAACCUUACUUCACCAAACUUACGAACAUUUAGAACUGAAAUUCACAGGUUAGAAUUAUAUUUAUAGAUUUUAGCAGCGCUUUCAUUACAAUUCAGCCACAUAUUUUACUUAACAAAUUACCAGAGAUGAAUAUCAACAGUAAUCUAAUACUGUGGAUCUAUAGUUAUCUUUUGCAAAGACCUCAAUACACCAAAUUUUUUUUUUUUUUUUUUUUUUUUUUUGUCGCGGCCUAUUGCGCCGGUAGGCUUCUUCCCGGUGGGGCCUGAUGGUCAGCCCAAGGCUUCUUCCCGGUGGGGCCUGAUGGUCGGCCCAGCCCGUUCUGGCGCAGGCGAGUGUUGAUAGUGGCGCCAUCUUGUGUUGGCCCAUGCUGCCCCCCGGAACUCAUCUUUCAGCCUCUCUUUGGAGAGGUUAUCUAGAGCCCAGGUUGAUGGGUGGUCUUCAGGCCAGCAUGUGGGUAGUCUUAGGCCACUCGGCAGUGACUGAAAAACCUCAACUGUGCGGCACACUAACACCAGACAAGAGAACCAGGUGGAGAGGUGGAAUUAUAACCUUUGUUGGGGCAGGAUGGAGCACACUAACACCAGACAAGAGAACCAGGUGGAGAGGUGGAAUUAUAACCUUUGUUGGGGCAGGAUGGAGCACACUAACACCAGACAAGAGAACCAGGUGGAAGAUGCUUGGACAGACCUUUAUUUUGCAGUGGACUAUUCAUAUCAGAAGACAAUUUUUCUUUAUACUCUUAUCAUCACGGCCAUGGGUGGUGUGGUGCCAGGGUGUGUGUGGAUGGCCAUGGGUGGUGUGGUGCCAGGGUGGUGUGGAUGACAGGGAAGAUAGGGGCAGUAAGGUGUGCCAGGGUGUGUGUGGAUGGCCAUGGGUGGUGUGGUGCCAGGGUGGUGUGGAUGACAGGGAAGAUAGGGGCAGUAAGGUGUGCAUGGGUGUGUGUGGAUGGCCAUGGGUGGUGUGGUGCCAGGAUAGAGUGGAUGACAGGGAAGAUAGGGGCAGUAAGGUGUGCAUGGGUGUGUGUGGAUGUGCCAGUGAAUGGUAAGGGAAGGAAAGGCAGGAGUGUGCAGGCCACGCACCAUGGAGUCCCCAACUAGGCGAGUCUCGAACUCAUCCUCCAUGGUGUCUGCCAGCACCUGGAACCUAUUGAAGGUAGUGGGGGUCAGUAAAUCCUUGGUUGCCUGCUUCGGUUUGGCUCCAUUCCUUACAGGUUGGAACCCGA